GCGGGGAGUGGACGAGAGCACGAGCGCUUUAGAGUACACACCGCUGUGCACAGCGCACGCACACGCAAAGUCAGCUGAUCUCAUCUGAUGCAGAUCUGCUCCUUGAUCAAGUGACAUUUGUCCGGAUUUUUGCCACGAGUGGCGUCGGACCAGCACCGCAGCUGGAUGGCCCGAUUUACAUACCCAGCGCAGCUGAUACUCCAGAAUAAUUUACUAAAAUUAUAUGGACUCAUGUUAUUAAGUCCAGUUCAGUCUGUUAAUGUUGAUAA
This is a long non-coding RNA of Oreochromis niloticus (Nile tilapia), 269 nucleotides long. RefSeq lists it as uncharacterized. NCBI's taxonomy places the organism in Eukaryota, Metazoa, Chordata, Actinopteri, Cichliformes, Cichlidae. The transcript has 2 exons. The record is from RefSeq and is a predicted model, not a curated record.